UACGGGGGGGGCAAGCGUUGUUCGGAAUUACUGGGCGUAAAGGGCUCGUAGGUGGCCAACUAAGUCAGACGUGAAAUCCCUCGGCUUAACCGGGGAACUGCGUCUGAUACUGGAUGGCUUGAGGUUGGGAGAGGGACGCGGAAUUCCAGGUGUAGCGGUGAAAUGCGUAGAUAUCUGGAGGAACACCGGUGGCGAAGGCGGCGUCCUGGACCAAUUCUGACACUGAGGAGCGAAAGCCAGGGGAGCAAACGGG
This 253-nucleotide ribosomal RNA is filed under the name uncultured bacterium. RNAcentral describes it as "partial 16S ribosomal RNA". It matches the Rfam family "Bacterial small subunit ribosomal RNA", at positions 524 to 776 of the family's 1533-position model. The record is from RNAcentral.